RNAcentral lists this ribosomal RNA (1450 nucleotides) under Actinoalloteichus sp. ANPostmon16. RNAcentral describes it as "bacterial SSU rRNA". It matches the Rfam family "Bacterial small subunit ribosomal RNA". The record is from RNAcentral. Lineage: Bacteria; Bacillati; Actinomycetota; Actinomycetes; Pseudonocardiales; Pseudonocardiaceae.
CCCGCUCAGGACGAACGCUGGCGGCGUGCUUAACACAUGCAAGUCGAGCGGUAAGGCCCUUCGGGGUACACGAGCGGCGAACGGGUGAGUAACACGUGGGUAACCUGCCCUGCACUUUGGGAUAACCUCGGGAAACCGGGGCUAAUACCGGACAUGACAUGCCAUCGCAUGGUGGUGUGUGGAAAGUUCCGGCGGUGUGGGAUGGGCCCGCGGCCUAUCAGCUUGUUGGUGGGGUGAUGGCCUACCAAGGCGACGACGGGUAGCCGGCCUGAGAGGGCGACCGGCCACACUGGGAAUGAGACACGGCCCAGACUCCUACGGGAGGCAGCAGUGGGGAAUAUUGCGCAAUGGGCGAAAGCCUGACGCAGCGACGCCGCGUGAGGGAUGACGGCCUUCGGGUUGUAAACCUCUUUCAGCGCCGAAGAAGCGAAAGUGACGGUAGGCGCAGAAGAAGCACCGGCUAACUACGUGCCAGCAGCCGCGGUAAUACGUAGGGUGCGAGCGUUGUCCGGACUUAUUGGGCGUAAAGAGCUCGUAGGCGGUUUGUCGCGUCGGCUGUGAAAACCUGGGGCUUAACCCUGGGCGUGCAGUCGAUACGGGCAGACUUGAGUUCGGCAGGGGAGACUGGAAUUCCUGGUGUAGCGGUGAAAUGCGCAGAUAUCAGGAGGAACACCGGUGGCGAAGGCGGGUCUCUGGGCCGAUACUGACGCUGAGGAGCGAAAGCGUGGGGAGCGAACAGGAUUAGAUACCCUGGUAGUCCACGCCGUAAACGGUGGGCGCUAGGUGUGGGGGAUUUCCACGUCCUCCGUGCCGUAGCUAACGCAUUAAGCGCCCCGCCUGGGGGAGUACGGCCGCAAGGCUAAAACUCAAAGGAAUUGACGGGGGCCCGCACAAGCGGCGGAGCAUGUGGAUUAAUUCGAUGCAACGCGAAGAACCUUACCUGGGUUUGACAUGCACCGGACAGCCUCGGAGACGGGGUUUCCGCAAGGUCGGUGUACAGGUGGUGCAUGGCUGUCGUCAGCUCGUGUCGUGAGAUGUUGGGUUAAGUCCCGCAACGAGCACAACCCUUAUUCCAAGUUGCCAGCACGUAAUGGUGGGGACUCAUGGGAGACUGCCGGGGUCAACUCGGAGGAAGGUGGGGACGACGUCAAGUCAUCAUGCCCCCUAUGUCCAGGGCUUCACACAUGCUACAAUGGCCGGUACAAAGGGCUGCUAAACCGUGAGGUGGAGCGAAUCCCAUAAAGCCGGUCUCAGUUCGGAUCGGGGUCUGCAACUCGACCCCGUGAAGUCGGAGUCGCUAGUAAUCGCAGAUCAGCAACGCUGCGGUGAAUACGUUCCCGGGCCUUGUACACACCGCCCGUCACGUCACGAAAGUCGGUAACACCCGAAGCCCAUGGCCCAACCCGCAAGGGGGGGAGUGGUCGAAGGUGGGACUGGCGAUUGGGACGAA